RNAcentral lists this ribosomal RNA (305 nucleotides) under uncultured bacterium. Its description in RNAcentral is "bacterial SSU rRNA". It matches the Rfam family "Bacterial small subunit ribosomal RNA", at positions 337 to 640 of the family's 1533-position model. The record is from RNAcentral.
UCCUACGGGACGCAGCAGUGAGGAAUAUUGGUCAAUGGUCGGGAGACUGAACCAGCCAAGCCGCGUGAGGGAUGAAGGUACAGAGUAUCGUAAACCUCUUUUGUCAGGGAACAAAGGCGGGGACGCGUCCCCGGAUGAGUGUACCUGAAGAAAAAGCAUCGGCUAACUCUGUGCCAGCAGCCGCGGUAAUACGGAGGAUUCUAGCGUUAUCCGGAUUUAUUGGGUUUAAAGGGUGCGCCUGCGGUCUGUUUAGUCCGCGGUCAAAGCCCGGGGCUCAACCCCGGCCCGCCUUUGCAACUGGCAUU